GGUCUUGAUGUUGUAAAUCUUGUAAGGCUUUAGCAAUUAAUGUUGGGUCGAACAGAAAACCUUCGACUACAACACAGGUUUGCGGAGAAGCAACAAGAUUAAUAAUAAUGAACAAUGUGAAAUGUAAAUGAGUUUUAUCCCUAUAAAGCUUCAAAGGGUCUUUUUGUCCUUUAGUGUCAG
Molecule: ribosomal RNA, 180 nt
Filed under: Breviolum psygmophilum
Lineage: Eukaryota; Dinophyceae; Suessiales; Symbiodiniaceae
Description: partial 23S ribosomal RNA
Source: RNAcentral